AAUAGAUACCCCGGUAGUCCACGCCGUAAACGGUGGGCACUAGGUGUGGGCAGCAUUCCACGUUGUCCGUGCCGUAGCUAGCGCAUUAAGUGCCCCGCCUGGGGAGUACGGCCGCAAGGCUAAAACUCAAAGGAAUUGACGGGGGGCCCGCACAAGCGGCGGAGCAUGUGGCUUAAUUCGACGCAACGCGAAGAACCUUACCAAGGCUUGACAUACACCGGAAACAUCCAGAGAUGGGUGCCCCCUUGUGGUCGGUGUACAGGUGGUGCAUGGCUGUCGUCAGCUCGUGUCGUGAGAUGUUGGGUUAAGUCCCGCAACGAGCGCAACCCUUGUCCCGUGUUGCCAGCAGGCCCUUGUGGUGCUGGGGACUCACGGGAGACCGCCGGGGUCAACUCGGAGGAAGGUGGGGACGACGUCAAGUCAUCAUGCCCCUUAUGUCUUGGGCUGCACACGUGCUACAAUGGCCGGUACAAAGAGCUGCGAUACCGUGAGGUGGAGCGAAUCGUCAAAAAAGCCGGUCUCAGUUCGGAUUGGGGU
This 537-nucleotide ribosomal RNA is filed under the name uncultured bacterium. RNAcentral describes it as "bacterial SSU rRNA". It matches the Rfam family "Bacterial small subunit ribosomal RNA", at positions 777 to 1304 of the family's 1533-position model. The record is from RNAcentral.